UUGAAGGUUGGGUAACACUAACUGGAGGACCGAACCGACUAAUGUUGAAAAAUUAGCGGAUGACUUGUGGCUGGGGGUGAAAGGCCAAUCAAACCGGGAGAUAGCUGGUUCUCCCCGAAAGCUAUUUAGGUAGCGCCUCGUGAAUUCAUCUCCGGGGGUAGAGCACUGUUUCGGCAAGGGGGUCAUCCCGACUUACCAACCCGAUGCAAACUGCGAAUACCGGAGAAUGUUAUCACGGGAGACACACGGCGGGUGCUAACGUCCGUCGUGAAGAGGGAAACAACCCAGACCGCCAGCUAAGGUCCCAAAGUCAUGGUUAAGUGGGAAACGAUGUGGGAAGGCCCAGACAGCCAGGAUGUUGGCUUAGAAGCAGCCAUCAUUUAAAGAAAGCGUAAUAGCUCACUGGUCGAGUCGGCCUGCGCGGAAGAUGUAACGGGGCUAAACCAUGCACCGAAGCUGCGGCAGCGACGCUGAUGCGUUGUUGGGUAGGGGAGCGUUCUGUAAGCCUGUGAAGGUGCGCUGUGAGGCAUGCUGGAGGUAUCAGAAGUGCGAAUGCUGACAUAAGUAACGAUAAAGCGGGUGAAAAGCCCGCUCGCCGGAAGACCAAGGGUUCCUGUCCAACGUUAAUCGGGGCAGGGUGAGUCGACCCCUAAGGCGAGGCCGAAAGGCGUAGUCGAUGGGAAACAGGUUAAUAUUCCUGUACUUGGUGUUACUGCGAAGGGGGGACGGAGAAGGCUAUGUUGGCCGGGCGACGGUUGUCCCGGUUUAAGCGUGUAGGCUGGUUUUCCAGGCAAAUCCGGAAAAUCAAGGCUGAGGCGUGAUGACGAGGUACUACGGUGCUGAAGCAACAAAUGCCCUGCUUCCAGGAAAAGCCUCUAAGCAUCAGGUAACAUCAAAUCGUACCCCAAACCGACACAGGUGGUCAGGUAGAGAAUACCAAGGCGCUUGAGAGAACUCGGGUGAAGGAACUAGGCAAAAUGGUGCCGUAACUUCGGGAGAAGGCACGCUGAUAUGUAGGUGAAGUCCCUCGCGGAUGGAGCUGAAAUCAGUCGAAGAUACCAGCUGGCUGCAACUGUUUAUUAAAAACACAGCACUGUGCAAACACGAAAGUGGACGUAUACGGUGUGACGCCUGCCCGGUGCCGGAAGGUUAAUUGAUGGGGUCAGCGCAAGCGAAGCUCUUGAUCGAAGCCCCGGUAAACGGCGGCCGUAACUAUAACGGUCCUAAGGUAGCGAAAUUCCUUGUCGGGUAAGUUCCGACCUGCACGAAUGGCGUAAUGAUGGCCAGGCUGUCUCCACCCGAGACUCAGUGAAAUUGAACUCGCUGUGAAGAUGCAGUGUACCCGCGGCAAGACGGAAAGACCCCGUGAACCUUUACUAUAGCUUGACACUGAACAUUGAGCCUUGAUGUGUAGGAUAGGUGGGAGGCUUUGAAGUGUGGACGCCAGUCUGCAUGGAGCCGACCUUGAAAUACCACCCUUUAAUGUUUGAUGUUCUAACGUUGACCCGUAAUCCGGGUUGCGGACAGUGUCUGGUGGGUAGUUUGACUGGGGCGGUCUCCUCCUAAAGAGUAACGGAGGAGCACGAAGGUUGGCUAAUCCUGGUCGGACAUCAGGAGGUUAGUGCAAUGGCAUAAGCCAGCUUGACUGCGAGCGUGACGGCGCGAGCAGGUGCGAAAGCAGGUCAUAGUGAUCCGGUGGUUCUGAAUGGAAGGGCCAUCGCUCAACGGAUAAAAGGUACUCCGGGGAUAACAGGCUGAUACCGCCCAAGAGUUCAUAUCGACGGCGGUGUUUGGCACCUCGAUGUCGGCUCAUCACAUCCUGGGGCUGAAGUAGGUCCCAAGGGUAUGGCUGUUCGCCAUUUAAAGUGGUACGCGAGCUGGGUUUAGAACGUCGUGAGACAGUUCGGUCCCUAUCUGCCGUGGGCGCUGGAGAACUGAGGGGGGCUGCUCCUAGUACGAGAGGACCGGAGUGGACGCAUCACUGGUGUUCGGGUUGUCAUGCCAAUGGCACUGCCCGGUAGCUAAAUGCGGAAGAGAUAAGUGCUGAAAGCAUCUAAGCACGAAACUUGCCCCGAGAUGAGUUCUCCCUGACUCCUUGAGAGUCCUGAAGGAACGUUGAAGACGACGACGUUGAUAGGCCGGGUGUGUAAGCGCAGCGAUGCGUUGAGCUAACCGGUACUAAUGAACCGUGAGGCUUAACCUU
Molecule: ribosomal RNA, 2203 nt
Filed under: Escherichia coli
Lineage: Bacteria; Pseudomonadati; Pseudomonadota; Gammaproteobacteria; Enterobacterales; Enterobacteriaceae
Description: partial 23S ribosomal RNA
Rfam family: Bacterial large subunit ribosomal RNA
Source: RNAcentral